This 407-nucleotide ribosomal RNA is filed under the name uncultured bacterium. Its description in RNAcentral is "partial 16S ribosomal RNA". It matches the Rfam family "Bacterial small subunit ribosomal RNA", at positions 28 to 526 of the family's 1533-position model. The record is from RNAcentral.
GAUGAACGCUAGCUCCAGGCUUAACACAUGCAAGUCGCGGGACCGGCGCACGGGUGAGUAACGCGUAUCCACCCUUCCCUUCCCCACGCGAUAACCCGGCGAAAGUCGGACUAAUACCGUAUGAGCCAGGAUGGGGUUGCGUUCGAUUACCUGCACGGCGGGGUAACGGCCCACCGUGGCUACGAUAGGUAGGGGUUCUGAGAGGGAGGUCCCCCACACUGGAACGGAGACACGGUCCAGACUCCUACGGGAGGAAGCAGUGAGGAAUAUUGGUCAAUGGGCGUAAGCCUGAACCAGCCAAGUAGCGUGCAGGACGACGGCCUAUGGGUUGUAAACUGCUUUUAGGCGGGGAUAGGUACCGCAUGAAUAAGGACCGGCUAAUUCCGUGCCAGCCGCCGCGGUAAUAC